UCUCUUGCCGCAUGCUGCCAUGUCCCCUAUCUUGGUGGGGCCGGGCAACCGGCUAUGUCGGUAGAGUAUUUGGUGGAAUAGGCAUUUCGGACCCGGGGGGCAGUACCCCGGCGCCUCCACCACCAGCGGCGAGGAAGCGCUUUUAUCGAGCGCCGCUGCUGAUGGGGGCGAAACAGGAUCGACGAGUGCAAUAAAGGCCAGGUUGCCGAUCGGUAGGAGACCACCGUGACGGCUCAAUCACACAAGUGCCAACGAUAAUGAGGCUCUUGCGAUUGCCGCGUAACUGACGGCCUAACGGUCUGACGUUACAAGGACAAAAGCGCGGUCGGACCCCGCCGGGCAACAGAAGGGGAUUCCA
RNAcentral lists this transfer-messenger RNA (358 nucleotides) under Sphingomonas sp. It matches the Rfam family "Alphaproteobacteria transfer-messenger RNA". Rfam says of the family: Bacterial tmRNA, also known as 10Sa RNA or SsrA, is named for its dual tRNA and mRNA-like properties. Its role is to liberate the mRNA from a stalled ribosome. The record is from RNAcentral. Lineage: Bacteria; Pseudomonadati; Pseudomonadota; Alphaproteobacteria; Sphingomonadales; Sphingomonadaceae.